Molecule: non-coding RNA, 114 nt
Organism: Acanthosepion pharaonis
Lineage: Eukaryota; Metazoa; Mollusca; Cephalopoda; Sepiida; Sepiidae
Source: the annotation of a GenBank genome assembly
UUACAGCCACAGCAGUUUGAAACACCAGUUCCCAUACAAUUACCAAAGUUAAGCAACAUCAAGUCUGAUCAGUACAUAGAUGGCUGACCACUUGAGAAUACCAGGUGUUGUAAG